CCGAGGCUGCCGUGGCCGCGCACACCACCCGCCACGCACCGCACACUGCCACUACCGCCUCAGAGGCCACCAUGGCCGCGUGCUCCACACCCGCACCACUGCCCGCCCACGCAGCCACCUUGCUUUCUGCUUUCUUCACUCCUCCCUCCCUCAGCAUAUGCAAAUUAACCGCCAUCUUGUUCGCUCUGAUUGGCUGUGGGCAUAGUAAAGGCAGCCCACUUGCAUAAUGACUGAGAUGAAUAGGCUGAUUUAAUGCUUUAAGGCAUUUUGUUAGGCAACAAGAAAAAAAUGGGUCAAAGGAGAAGAGAUUUCAUUAUAAAAGUAAAUAUAAGAAGGAGGAAGAGGAAGAAGAGCAGAAGAGGAAGAAGAAGUAGUAGGAUGAGUAAAUAUAAGACAUAUUCGAGAAAGCACAUUUUAACCUGGCUGAGAGUUGUAUGCUCCUGGACAUGGAAUGCAGUCCAUCCUCCUUUUCCCAGAACUGCCUAUCAUCAUGGAAAGAUUAACAACCUUGUUGUGGAAACGAUCUGGUUCUGAGGCACCCGCCCUUUGUGACUCCUCCAUUCCCCAGCCCACAUUGCCUGUAACCUGUAACCAUAUACCUUGCCCAUUUCCCCAUGCCUGUAAUUCCUACUUCCCCACGUAAUUUUUGUCCUUCUACCCAAUAUAAGCAGCUGGGUUAUGGAGAGGGGUAGAGCAGAUUUGUGGAUAACCUUUUGCUCUCCUUUCUGCUGGCAUUGUUGGAAUAAACACUCAUAAAUGAUUCAACCCUGCCUAUGCUUACUUGGCUCAAGUAGUGACAGGCAGCCCAGACCCAUUGGUUGUCUGAUUUUAUAACUAGAUAUCACUGCCAGAUUCAUGUGUUCUCUGCUCUCAUCGAUGAUAAGGGAUACCAAUAUGACCCCUAAAAUAUAUCCCUGUUUGUUACAGAAAAUUUUAAGUGAAGGAAAAACAUAAACAUUCAAACUUGUCCAAACAUCUGGAUUACAUGCCCUGACAAGGGACAAGCCUUACUCAUAAAGUUUCCUUGGGGACAGGGUUAGGGAAAGCAGUUUAUUUUACCUGAAGCUGCUCGUGUGACUGUAAUCAAAGAAGCACUGAGAGCCAAUGCGCGAGCAGGAAACUGAGACCUAUGAGCCAGAGAAAAGAAGUUCUCAAAGGUGAUCAAAAUGAAGGGCUUCUAGAAGCAGGUGUGGAGCUAAGUUUAGCAAGCUGGGGAGGUAAGAGCAGAUAACUGAGGAGCAAAAGAGUGAAUAAGGAGAAAUCUGUGUAAAGACCCAAACAGCACUAUUUUUUACAGCUUAAUUUGAGGCCCGUUGCAGUAGUGUGAUGCACAGAGCCUUUAAAAGGCCUUGAAUAGAAUAUAGAGCCAAAAACACUUCUAGUUGUUAUAGCAUUCCAAAUAAGGCAAGGAUUGUAAAGAAAUAAG
Long non-coding RNA from Eptesicus fuscus (big brown bat), 1426 nucleotides. RefSeq lists it as uncharacterized. Lineage: Eukaryota; Metazoa; Chordata; Mammalia; Chiroptera; Vespertilionidae. The transcript is spliced from 3 exons. The record is from RefSeq and is a predicted model, not a curated record.